CAAACUGGAGAUGGCGACCGGCGCACGGGUGAGUAACACGUAUCCAACCUGCCGAUAACUCGGGGAUAGCCUUUCGAAAGAAAGAUUAAUACCCGAUGGUAUAAUCAGACCGCAUGGUUUGAUUAUUAAAGAAAUUCGGUAUGAGAUGGGGAUGCGUUCCAUUAGUUUGUUGGGGGGGUAACGGCCCACCAAGACUACGAUGGAUAGGGGUUCUGAGAGGAAGGUCCCCCACAUUGGAACUGAGACACGGUCCAA
Molecule: ribosomal RNA, 255 nt
Filed under: uncultured bacterium
Lineage: Bacteria
Description: partial 16S ribosomal RNA
Rfam family: Bacterial small subunit ribosomal RNA
Source: RNAcentral